RNAcentral lists this ribosomal RNA (582 nucleotides) under uncultured Glomeraceae. Its description in RNAcentral is "partial large subunit ribosomal RNA". It matches the Rfam family "Eukaryotic large subunit ribosomal RNA", at positions 204 to 637 of the family's 3401-position model. Lineage: Eukaryota; Fungi; Glomeromycota; Glomeromycetes; Glomerales; Glomeraceae. The record is from RNAcentral.
CAUGGAGGGUGAGAAUCCCGUCUGUGAUCCGAUCGGUUUCAGUACGAUAGCGUUUCUAAGAGUCGAGUUGUUUGGGACUGCAGCUCAAAUUGGGUGGUAAAUUCCAUCUAAGGCUAAAUAUAGGCGAGAGACCGAUAGCGAACAAGUACCGUGAGGGAAAGAUGAAAAGAACUUUGAAAAGAGAGUUAAACAGUACGUGAAAUUGUUGAAAGGGAAACGAUCGAAGCCAGUCGUACUGACGGGAAAUCAACUUCUCGAGUGCUUGUCGUGAAUGACGUUGAGCUUCACGGCCUUCAUUGCUUGCGUUAUGGUGCUUUUGGGGUGUACUUUUCCGUAUGGUAAGUCAACAUCGAUUUUGAUCGUAAUAAAAUGAUCGGAGGAAUGUGGCUCUGAUCUCGUAUCGGAGUGUUAUAGCCUUUGGUAGAUGUGACGAUUGGGAUCGAGGAUUGCAGCGAAUACCCUUUGGGCUAUCCGUCUGACCUCUGAAAGUCGCUCGGGUGUCGAAAGCGUGCUUAUGACAUUCUAGUUGGCGGUCAAAAGGUUAGAACGUGAUUACAUUCGUUAAGGAUGUUGACGUAAUGG